UACGUAGGGUGCAAGCGUUAUCCGGAAUCAUUGGGCGUAAAGCGUGCGUAGGCGGUUUGGCAAGUCUGAGGUUAAAUCUGAUCGCUUAACGAUCAAAACGUCUCAGAAACUAUCAAGCUAGAGAGUGAUAGAGGCAACUAGAAUUCUACAUGUAGGGGUAAAAUCCGUUGAUAUGUAGAGGAAUACCAAAAGCGAAGGCAGGUUGCUGGGUCAUUUCUGACGCUGUUGCACGAAAGCGUGGGGAG
RNAcentral lists this ribosomal RNA (245 nucleotides) under uncultured bacterium. Its description in RNAcentral is "partial 16S ribosomal RNA". It matches the Rfam family "Bacterial small subunit ribosomal RNA", at positions 524 to 768 of the family's 1533-position model. The record is from RNAcentral.